This 322-nucleotide ribosomal RNA is filed under the name uncultured bacterium. RNAcentral's name for it is "bacterial SSU rRNA". It matches the Rfam family "Bacterial small subunit ribosomal RNA", at positions 32 to 346 of the family's 1533-position model. The record is from RNAcentral.
AAUCAACGCUGGCGGCGUGCCUCAGACAUGCAAGUCGAACGAUUAAAGCUCUCUUCGGAGAGUGUAUAGAGUGGCGCACGGGUGAGUAACACGUAAGUAAUCUACCUUUGAGUGGGAAUAACAGUCGGAAACGACUGCUAAUACCGCAUAAUGCAGCGGCACCGCAAGGUGACAGUUGUUAAAGGAGCAAUUCGCUUAAAGAGGAGCUUGCGGCAGAUAGCUUGUUGGUAAGGUAACGGCUUACCAAGGCUACGAUCUGUAUCCGGUCUUAGAGGACGGUCGGACACACUGACACUGAAUAACGGGUCAGACUCCUACGGGA